Molecule: ribosomal RNA, 467 nt
Filed under: uncultured bacterium
Lineage: Bacteria
Description: partial 16S ribosomal RNA
Rfam family: Bacterial small subunit ribosomal RNA
Source: RNAcentral
GAUGAACGCUGGCGGCGUGCUUAACACAUGCAAGUCGAACGGAAAGGCCCAAGCUUGCUUGGGUACUCGAGUGGCGAACGGGUGAGUAACACGUGGGUGAUCUGCCCUGCACUUCGGGAUAAGCCUGGGAAACUGGGUCUAAUACCGGAUAGGACGAUGGUUUGGAUGCCAUUGUGGAAAGUUUUUUCGGUGUGGGAUGAGCUCGCGGCCUAACAGCUUGUUGGUGGGGUAAUGGCCUACCAAGGCGUCGACGGGUAGCCGGCCUGAGAGGGUGUACGGCCACAUUGGGACUGAGAUACGGCCCAGACUCCUACGGGAGGCAGCAGUGGGGAAUAUUGCACAAUGGGCGCAAGCCUGAUGCAGCGACGCCGCGUGGGGGAUGACGGCCUUCGGGUUGUAAACUCCUUUCGCUAGGGACGAAGCGUUUUGUGACGGUACCUGGAGAAGAAGCACCGGCUAACUACGUG